Long non-coding RNA from Neopsephotus bourkii (Bourke's parrot), 1078 nucleotides. RefSeq lists it as uncharacterized. Lineage: Eukaryota; Metazoa; Chordata; Aves; Psittaciformes; Psittacidae. The record is from RefSeq and is a predicted model, not a curated record. The transcript is spliced from 3 exons.
UGUCUAAGUCUUGUGAAAAUGUUUAUCUUUAAAUCAUGUGUGUUAACAUUUCAGAGGAAUUUGAUUAAAGGUAUUUGGGCAGAAAAACAUAUAAUCCUCUAGUUGGUAUGUGUUUAAAUAAUCUUUAGUGUUUUGUUUAAAAGGACUGCACAAAAAUACAGCUUUUUUUGUUUAUCGGUGAUAUCCCUAGAAAUAUGUUUUUCAGGAACUUGAAAGCAUCGCACUUUCUUAUAUUUUUAAUCACUCUCUGAUCCCAUAAAUAUGUUGCUGAAAAAUGACUUAGAAGCCAUCUCAGCUUCAAGUGCUGAAAAUUAAUAACUGAACAGAAUGGUUAAUCAUUAUAAAUUCUCUCAUGUUUUACAGUAAUUGCUGAUACUGUAAGCUGUCAAAGAGUAAUACAGAGCAAAACUUAGAGUAAUUUCCAUAUGAGAGGAGUAGGUACCAAAGCUAUAAAUAAUACUGUUAGAGAGAAUCACUGAAUUCUUUAUAGAGAAGUGUAUUCACUGUUUGAUUGCAAAGAUUCUCAAAAGGAAGAAAUAAUCUUAUGGAAGAGAACAGAAUGAAAUGGCUGCAGAUGAACCUGACCCAGUAUUUACUUGUGUAUAAGUGAAGAAAAACAAGUUAGAAAAUCAAGGAAGGGGUAGGCUGUUGUUAUCAUCUGGAAGCAUGAUGGAAAUCCUGUACUUGAUUGCCUUCAAGCCUUAUGUAGUAAACAUGAUUAUUAAUUUUUGUUCUUAAUAACACAUUUUAGAUGAGUAAAAAGAGAUCUCAAGAUGCCCUUAUCACUUUUCAGAGUUUAAUCAACAUUCAGGAUAAUUUCCAAUUUAAGUUUGCAAAACUGCAACCAUUAUUCUUGCUGCCCUUUCUACAUAUGAAUCAUAAGCUGUAAAAUCAUAAACAGUUCUUAUAUGUUGCAAAACCCUGUGCUUGCUUGUGCAUAUCUUCCACUGCAUAACAAGGUCUUAGACUUUGAUAGCAUUCCCUCCUCACACAGCACCGCCCACCAACUCACAUUACUCAUAUUAGUGAAAAUUAAUCAGCAGAAAAAAACAAACAAACAAACAAAAAAAAACCAAAA